GAUCGAUGACCAGUCUGACGGAGCACGCCGCGUGAGUGAGAGGUUUUCGGAUCGUAAAGCUCUGUUGUUAGGAAGAACAGGGGAAAGAGUAACUGUUUUCCCCCUGACGGUAUCUGACCAGAAAGCCACGGCUAACUACGUGCCAGCAGCCGCGGUAAUACAA
RNAcentral lists this ribosomal RNA (163 nucleotides) under uncultured bacterium. RNAcentral describes it as "partial 16S ribosomal RNA". It matches the Rfam family "Bacterial small subunit ribosomal RNA", at positions 370 to 528 of the family's 1533-position model. The record is from RNAcentral.